Molecule: ribosomal RNA, 253 nt
Filed under: uncultured bacterium
Lineage: Bacteria
Description: partial 16S ribosomal RNA
Rfam family: Bacterial small subunit ribosomal RNA
Source: RNAcentral
AACGUAGGAGACAAACGUUAUCCGGAGUUACUGGGCGUAAAGGGCGUGUAGGUGGUUGCGUAAGUCUGGCGUGAAAUAUCUCGGCUUAACCGAGGCAGGUCGUCGGAUACUGCGUAACUGGAGGACGGUAGAGGCGUGUGGAAUUCCGGGUGUAGUGGUGAAAUGCGUAGAGAUCCGGAGGGACACCAGUGGCGAAGGCGACACGCUGGGCCAUACCUGACGCUAAAGCGCGACAGCAUGGGGAGCAAACGGG